This 584-nucleotide ribosomal RNA is filed under the name uncultured bacterium. Its description in RNAcentral is "partial 16S ribosomal RNA". It matches the Rfam family "Bacterial small subunit ribosomal RNA", at positions 355 to 1375 of the family's 1533-position model. The record is from RNAcentral.
UGGGGAAUUUUGGACAAUGGGCGAAAGCCUGAUCCAGCAAUGCCGCGUGUGUGAAGAAGGCCUUCGGGUUGUAAAGCACUUUUGUCCGGAAAGAAAUCCUUGGCUCUAAUACAGUCGGGGGAUGACGGUACCGGAAGAAUAAGCACCGGCUAACUACGUGCCAGCAGCCGCGGUAAUACGUAGGGUGCAAGCGUUAAUCGGAAUUACUGGGCGUAAAGCGUGCGCAGGCGGUUUGCUAAGACCGAUGUGAAAUCCCCGGGCUCAACCUGGGAACUGCAUUGGUGACUGGCAGGCUAGAGUAUGGCAGAGGGGGGUAGAAUUCCAGUGUAGCAGUGAAAUGCGUAGAGAUGUGGAGGAAUACCGAUGGCGAAGGCAGCCCCCUGGGCAAUACUGACGCUCAUGCACGAAAGCGUGGGGAGCAAACAGGAUUAGAUACCCUGGUAGUCCACGCCCUAAAACGAUGUCAACUAGUUGUUGGGGAUUCAUUUCCUUAGUAACGUAGCUAACGCGUGAAGUUGACCGCCUGGGGAGUACGGUCGCAAGAUUAAAACUUAAAUGAAUUGACGGGGUCAUAGCUGUUUCCU